RNAcentral lists this ribosomal RNA (538 nucleotides) under Bicosoecida sp. RCC585. RNAcentral describes it as "SSU rRNA". It matches the Rfam family "Eukaryotic small subunit ribosomal RNA", at positions 607 to 1164 of the family's 1831-position model. The record is from RNAcentral. Lineage: Eukaryota; Bigyra; Bicosoecida.
AAGUUGUUGCAGUUAAAAAGCUCGUAGUUGAAUUUCUGGUGGGCGCGCCGGUCUUCCAUGUGUUGUACUGGGCGCUGUCCGCCAUCCUUGUGGAGAGGGCUCGCAUUGAGUUGUGGGUCGGAUCUGCAUCAUUUACUGUGAAAAAAUUAGAGUGUUUAAAGCAGGCUGUCGCUUGAAUACAUUAGCAUGGAAUAAUAAGAUAGGACUUUGGUCUAUUUUGUUGGUUGCGAACCGAGGUAAUGAUUAAUAGGGAUAGUUGGGGGUAUUCAUAUUUAAUUGUCAGAGGUGAAAUUCUUGGAUUUAUGAAAGAUGAACAACUGCGAAAGCAUUUACCAAGGAUGUUUUCAUUAAUCAAGAACGAAAGUCAGGGGAUCGAAGAGGAUUAGAUACCCUCGUAGUCUUGACCAUAAACUAUGCCGACUCAGGAUUGGCAGGCGUUUUCUAACGACCCUGUCAGCACUGUAUGAAAAAUCAAAGUCUUUGGGUUCCGGGGGGAGUAUGGUCGCAAGGCUGAAACUUAAAGGAAUUGACGGAAGGG